AGCUUGCUGCUUUGCUGACGAGUGGCGGACGGGUGAGUAAUGUCUGGGAAACUGCCUGAUGGAGGGGGAUAACUACUGGAAACGGUGGCUAAUACCGCAUAACGUCGCAAGACCAAAGAGGGGGACCUUCGGGCCUCUUGCCAUCAGAUGUGCCCAGAUGGGAUUAGCUAGUUGGUGAGGUAACGGCUCACCAAGGCGACGAUCCCUAGCUGGUCUGAGAGGAUGACCAGCCACACUGGAACUGAGACACGGUCCAGACUCCUACGGGAGGCAGCAGUGGGGAAUAUUGCACAAUGGGCGCAAGCCUGAUGCAGCCAUGCCGCGUGUAUGAAGAAGGCCUUCGGGUUGUAAAGUACUUUCAGCGGGGAGGAAGGUGUUGUGGUUAAUAACCACAGCAAUUGACGUUACCCGCAGAAGAAGCACCGGCUAACUCCGUGCCAGCAGCCGCGGUAAUACGGAGGGUGCAAGCGUUAAUCGGAAUUACUGGGCGUAAAGCGCAC
Molecule: ribosomal RNA, 500 nt
Filed under: Salmonella enterica subsp. enterica serovar Heidelberg
Lineage: Bacteria; Pseudomonadati; Pseudomonadota; Gammaproteobacteria; Enterobacterales; Enterobacteriaceae
Description: bacterial SSU rRNA
Rfam family: Bacterial small subunit ribosomal RNA
Source: RNAcentral